CUUUACUAUUAAUUAAUCAUUAAUUCAACAUAUAUCCUCAAGCAUUCUUUGCAAAAGGUUUUACGAAAAAAUUCAAUUUUAUCCACCAAGGAAGCAAUUAUUUAAUGUAAUCGAAUACCAAAAAAAAGAAAAGAAAGAGAGAGAAUCUGUCGCACAAACCUGAAGCCCAUCGUCCAAAAUUACCGUCCGAAGGGUGGUUUAUUCGAGUAUUAUGGAAGGAAAACCAAAGAUGGAGCCGUAAUGUCACCGACGCUCGUUGCAGGAAACGCGCGUAUCGAUUUCGAGUGCAAGGCCGAUGGCGCACCAAAGGUAUCCUUACGAAGAGAGAAAAAAAAAGAAGAAAGCCGGUGGACGGUCGCUGGCUUCGCGAAUGAUUUACCCGAAUAAAAAAAGAAACCGGGAUAAAAAAAGACCACCCCGCGCGAAUAAACUUUCACCACGGAUCUCCCUCUAAUAACCCAAAACGCCUCGACUUUCCUCAAAGAGAACGCAUUUUUUUCUUAAAUUAACUUUUCCUCCCAUUCUAAACGAUUGUCACGCUCGAACGAAUUCUUUCAUCUUAAUCCGUUUUCGUGCGAGGUCGAGGAGGAGA
Long non-coding RNA from Apis dorsata (giant honeybee), 592 nucleotides. RefSeq lists it as uncharacterized. The record is from RefSeq and is a predicted model, not a curated record. The transcript has 4 exons. Lineage: Eukaryota; Metazoa; Arthropoda; Insecta; Hymenoptera; Apidae.